This 204-nucleotide long non-coding RNA is filed under the name Lathyrus oleraceus (garden pea). RNAcentral describes it as "Pisum sativum (pea) long non-coding RNA (PSAT_LNC025758)". Lineage: Eukaryota; Viridiplantae; Streptophyta; Magnoliopsida; Fabales; Fabaceae. The record is from RNAcentral.
UUAAGUGUCCAUGCUCAUGUUUAGAAACAAAUUCUCCUCUUUAAAACAACAUAAACUCAUUUAUUUUUUCACAUACCACUUAAGUUAAAACUUAAUUCAAAGUUCAAAAAUCCCACAGUUUCUACAACAUUAUGCAAUCAGGACAGCAUUGGAAAAAUACAUCAUUAUAACAAAAAAAGAAAAUGCAGAACCAAUGGACAUGAG